GAUAUUUAACUACUGAUGAUGAAUGAAGGAUUAUUAAUGCAUGAUGAUUAAUAAUGAACUAAAUUAAUGAAUAUUUUCACUGCAGUUGAUUCAGCCAGUCUGUGCUAAAUAAUGCUUCAAAUGUUUGUCAAUAGUUUGGUUUGGACCCUGAACCAUUGGUACCUGGUGGCCCUUCUUCUGCCACUGGUGAUACUGGUCAUCAUCAUCUGUAUGCUCAGAAAGAAAUGUGAGUAGAGAAUCAAACCAGGACCAGAGAGAGGAGCAAUGACACCACUGUUCCCACAGCUGUGAGAUCCUACAACUUCACAGACAGUAUCUAUCUAUCUAUCGAUUGAUAGAUAGAUAGAUCGGAUAAGCGGUAGAAAAUGAAU
Long non-coding RNA from Tachysurus vachellii, 371 nucleotides. RefSeq lists it as uncharacterized. NCBI's taxonomy places the organism in Eukaryota, Metazoa, Chordata, Actinopteri, Siluriformes, Bagridae. The transcript is spliced from 3 exons. The record is from RefSeq and is a predicted model, not a curated record.